RNAcentral lists this ribosomal RNA (475 nucleotides) under uncultured bacterium. RNAcentral's name for it is "bacterial SSU rRNA". It matches the Rfam family "Bacterial small subunit ribosomal RNA", at positions 53 to 507 of the family's 1533-position model. The record is from RNAcentral.
ACAUGCAAGUCGCACGAGAAAGGGCUUCGGCCCCGGUAAAGUGGCGCACGGGUGAGUAACACGUGGGUAAUCUGCCCUCGAGCGGGGGAUAACAUCUCGAAAGGGAUGCUAAUACCGCAUAAGACCACAGCCUCGAAAGAGGCAGCGGUCAAAGCAGGCCUCUGUAUACAAGCUUGCACUUGAGGAUGAGCCCGCGGCCCAUCAGCUAGUUGGCAGGGUAACGGCCUACCAAGGCGACGACGGGUAGCUGGUCUGAGAGGAUGAUCAGCCACACUGGAACUGAGACACGGUCCAGACUCCUACGGGAGGCAGCAGUGGGGGAAUCUUGCGCAAUGGGCGAAAGCCUGACGCAGCGACGCCGCGUGGGUGAUGAAGGCCUUCGGGUUGUAAAGCUCUGUGGGGAGAGACGAAUAAGCACUGGCUAAUAUCCAAUGUGAUGACGGUAUCUCCUUAGCAAGCACCGGCUAACUCUGUG